CACUCCUGCGGGAGGCAGCAGUGGGGAAUAUUGGACAAUGGGCGCAAGCCUGAUCCAGCCAUGCCGCGUGAGUGAUGAAGGCCCUAGGGUUGUAAAGCUCUUUCACCGGUGAAGAUAAUGACGGUAACCGGAGAAGAAGCCCCGGCUAACUUCGUGCCAGCAGCCGCGGUAAUACGAAGGGGGCUAGCGUUGUUCGGAUUUACUGGGCGUAAAGCGCACGUAGGCGGACUAUUAAGUCAGGGGUGAAAUCCCGGGGCUCAACCCCGGAACUGCCUUUGAUACUGGUAGUCUUGAGUUCGAGAGAGGUGAGUGGAAUUCCGAGUGUAGAGGUGAAAUUCGUAGAUAUUCGGAGGAACACCAGUGGCGAAGGCGGCUCACUGGCUCGAUACUGACGCUGAGGUGCGAAAGCGUGGGGAGCAAACAGGAUUAGAAACCCGAGUAGUCCCAUGAU
RNAcentral lists this ribosomal RNA (451 nucleotides) under uncultured organism. RNAcentral describes it as "partial 16S ribosomal RNA". It matches the Rfam family "Bacterial small subunit ribosomal RNA", at positions 334 to 801 of the family's 1533-position model. The record is from RNAcentral.